AACAACGCUCAGCCUCACAAGAUGGAGUGCAGAUUGGAGAAGUGCUACUGCUCUUUAUGAGCAAGCUGCUAAUGGGUUUAGAGUUGCCAAGGACUACGAGAGAGCAAAAGGAGCAUUUGAGAAGGCUUCAAAAGGACAAGAGAUGCUUUCUUCACCUUGGGAUGCAGGUAAGCACAUGGAAUCUGCUGCUGCUAUGUCAAAGGAACUAAGCAACUGGAGAGAAGUUGGGG
Molecule: long non-coding RNA, 230 nt
Organism: Gastrolobium bilobum
Lineage: Eukaryota; Viridiplantae; Streptophyta; Magnoliopsida; Fabales; Fabaceae
Exons: 3
Source: RefSeq, a predicted model, not a curated record